UACUAAGUCCUAUAAUGCUCUACAAGGCACAUUUGCUGAUAGUAGUCAGCUGGCGGAUGUCAAGGCUCUCCUGGCAAUGCAUCAUCAUGAUCACUGCAUCGGAAAUCAUUGUAGCGGAGAGCUGGUCUCCCACAGCCUAUUUCCGCUGGUAUUCUAGAAUGGCUCAGGAACAAGUAGUAAAUCCAAUAGAGUAGCAGGCACAAUCAGCAAUAUAUUCCAAGAAUAUCCCAUCACCUUUCCCAAUAACUGGAUGACACACAGUAUCAGGAG
Molecule: non-coding RNA, 270 nt
Organism: Pelobates cultripes (western spadefoot toad)
Lineage: Eukaryota; Metazoa; Chordata; Amphibia; Anura; Pelobatidae
Source: the annotation of a GenBank genome assembly